CUUCCACCAACACACAUGGCAAAAGAGCCAGGGAUAUAUGAACUCACAUGUAGUGUAAGGAGUUCUGGUAGAAAACCUCCUCCAAAGGCUGAGAUGGGAGAAUGUGUGAGAAAGAGUGUAUGAGAAUAUUGGCCCAGUAUAGAUUUAAAUUUUUUGUAUUUCAGAUAAACUUUGAAGCUAAGCAAAAUACGUUCUAUUUCUAUUAAAAGGAAAACUACUCGAGGAGACAAGUUGUAUAACUUUUUACCCACUUAGCCUGUAAGGGUCACUGAGUUCCCCACGUCUCUAAUUUGCCAAGGAAAGGCCUGACAUCUGUCAUAGGAUGUGUCUAACAGGGCUCUUUAAUCCGGUUCCUGUACUCCACCUCAGCAAGUGGAGUAGUGCUAAAAUCGAGAUUGCAGUUCCGAAUUAGAGGUACUGUGGACACAAUUUGACAUUAUUGGCAUCCGGGAGCUAUCCCAGAAUGCUUCCUUGUGACCACUCUGGACAACACUCUCAACUCCGAUGUACUUGCCAGGAGUUGCAGGGAGAAUGACUUUUUGGAGGAUGAAGAGGAGAAGGAGGAGGACAGUGCACAAGCGACAAGUGGGGACUCCGUUUUCCCCUAUCAAGGUUCCCUCCACUCUGAACUUUAGGGUACAGAUGUGAGGACCUGAAUAAAAGACCCCCUAAGUUUAUUUACCAGCUUAGGUUAACAGUAAGGUGCCACCACCAAGUGUAUUCCAAAUCUUAGGGGAGAGCCACUUGGAACUCUGCCUUUCCCCAAAUAUCUCCCAAGUCCCUAACCUGUCCUUUCCUGGACAGCCUUGAGACUAA
Molecule: long non-coding RNA, 816 nt
Organism: Mauremys reevesii (Reeves's turtle)
Lineage: Eukaryota; Metazoa; Chordata; Testudines; Geoemydidae
Exons: 3
Source: RefSeq, a predicted model, not a curated record